CUCAAGCAGGCACUGAAAAGAACGAAUUUAAGCAAUCUAUUUUGACUCACAACAGACUUACAAUAUUUUGUUGACACUUGACAUGUUUAUUCUUUUAGCAAAAUUAUAAUCAUGUUUUAAUAUUUCCUGCAUGCAAUUAGCAGCUUUAUUCAAGAGACAACGAUGGCAUAUGAGUCCAGAAGAUAAGACCAACUAUGGCUUUCUGAAAUGAGUUGCUCCUGUCUCAGAAGGCUAUGUGUUACAGAUGUGAAAGGAUAAAUUCACCCCUGUGGUUGAUAUUUAUGGGAAUGCAAGGUGACAGCUGGAAUCUCAAAGACCUCCUGGAGCCUCACAGGGUGUUGCCAAUCAUCUUGGAAAUGGAGCCAACCUUGCCCUUCGGGGCCUUUAUGCCAAACAAGCCUACAUUGUCUGCAUCAAAAGGACAGAAGAUUACAGAAUAAAAACAGAAAAAGGAGAAGAAGAUUUAUGGUGUCACAAUUACUGGCCAUGACCAGACUCUCUGGAAGGAAACAGAGAUUCCCUGGACAGUGAAGAGAUCCCACCAGGUAUCUCCUGGGGCAGUAGAAUUUAGC
Molecule: long non-coding RNA, 572 nt
Filed under: Vulpes vulpes (red fox)
Lineage: Eukaryota; Metazoa; Chordata; Mammalia; Carnivora; Canidae
Description: lncRNA (ENSVVUG00000022140.1)
Source: RNAcentral